GCCCCCGUAGCUCAGUGGAUAGAGCACGGGUCUCCGGAACCCGGAGCGCAGGUUCGAUUCCUGCCGGGGGCA
This 72-nucleotide transfer RNA is filed under the name Actinomycetota bacterium. RNAcentral's name for it is "tRNA-Arg". It matches the Rfam family "tRNA". Rfam says of the family: Transfer RNA (tRNA) molecules are approximately 80 nucleotides in length. The record is from RNAcentral. Lineage: Bacteria; Bacillati; Actinomycetota.